Molecule: non-coding RNA, 1043 nt
Organism: Macaca mulatta (Rhesus monkey)
Lineage: Eukaryota; Metazoa; Chordata; Mammalia; Primates; Cercopithecidae
Source: RefSeq, a predicted model, not a curated record
AAGAUAUCAGGGAUCUCAGAGAACAAAGUAAGAUAAAGGCUAAUGACACUGCCUAGGGAUCGUAGAAGAGCUGAAAAUAAUGUUUUAUAUUUAAAAAGAAUGGCCUGCAGACAACCUGGACACAUAGAAGGCAUCCAUCUGCAUUUAAAGAAGCUCACAGACACGGCUGAUUGAUUCUGCGACCUUGCUUUGUUACUCAUCUCUGAGGUUAGCGGCUUCACUGCCAGGGACCUUGUCCAGAGUUUCUGAGGCCUCCAACAGCCUGUGGUCUCCUGGUCACGCAGACCCUGCCGGUGGCUUCAGUGACUGGAUCUUGCUGAUGUUUGAACUGCCUUUAGCUGUCUGUGAAGGGCAUGCUGGUGAGGCCACGGAGCAGGAAACCAUGACAAACAACAGAACUACAGUCUGGUUAAAAAAGAAAAUAUACAUAUGCACAUAUGUAUAUUCCCCUACCCCAGGGGUUGAGGCUUUUUUGGCAUAAAUUUACAUAUAUUUUGGCACAAAUUUGCAUACUAAGUUCCUAAGUCUCUACUUCCAAAUAGAGUUACAUGAGAACCUCUCAUUUAUGGCAUUAACAUUCGUAUUGUUCCCCUUAGACCCAUGUCACUGGCUCUUACUAAUAUACUGAGUUUCACCAGUUUGUCCUCCAUUUCCUAGAAUUUGUUCUAAUUUUUAGGAAAUGCUUACUAAAUAUCACUACUGUGUGUUGUGAAAUCCAGCCCUGAAGGACAUCAAAAGGUCUCUUGUUAGCUGGUAGCUAUUGUUAGGUAUUGUCUGUAGAGACAUCGGGUCUCCUGGAAACAUACCAUAGGCUGUCCAAAAGUAUUAAUUAUUAACUUGGGCCUUUAAUUGUAUUUAUAUGAAUUAGAAUAUUAUGUUUGUAUGUAGAGAAAAGAGAUUAUAUCUAAGCAUUAUAACUGUGUAUAAAAAGGAUUUUACCAAGAGUACUGGAAGGUGCAUUAUAGUUACUCUCAAAUGUAAUAUUAGGGAUUUAUAUUUACAUAUAUUUGAGACAGGGUCUCGCUCUGCCCAGGCUGGAGUGC